GAUGAACGCUGGCGGCGUGCCUAAUACAUGCAAGUCGAGCGAACAGACGAGGAGCUUGCUCCUCUGACGUUAGCGGCGGACGGGUGAGUAACACGUGGAUAACCUACCUAUAAGACUGGGAUAACUUCGGGAAACCGGAGCUAAUACCGGAUAAUAUAUUGAACCGCAUGGUUCAAUAGUGAAAGACGGUUUUGCUGUCACUUAUAGAUGGAUCCGCGCCGCAUUAGCUAGUUGGUAAGGUAACGGCUUACCAAGGCAACGAUGCGUAGCCGACCUGAGCGGGUGAACGGCCAGCCUGGAACUGAGAAACGGUCCAGACUCCUAGAGGAGGAAGCAGUAGGGAAUCUUACGGAAUGGGGGAAAGCCUGACGGAGCAAAGCCGCGUGAGUGAUGAAGGUCUUCGGAUCGUAAAACUCUGUUAUUAGGGAAGAACAAAUGUGUAAGUAACUAUGAACGUCUUGACGGUACCUAAUCAGAAAGCCACGGCUAACUACGUG
Molecule: ribosomal RNA, 497 nt
Filed under: uncultured bacterium
Lineage: Bacteria
Description: partial 16S ribosomal RNA
Rfam family: Bacterial small subunit ribosomal RNA
Source: RNAcentral